RNAcentral lists this ribosomal RNA (539 nucleotides) under uncultured bacterium. Its description in RNAcentral is "bacterial SSU rRNA". It matches the Rfam family "Bacterial small subunit ribosomal RNA", at positions 777 to 1315 of the family's 1533-position model. The record is from RNAcentral.
AAUAGAUACCCGGGUAGUCCACCCCGUAAACGUUGGGAACUAGUUGUGGGUCCAUUCCACGGAUUCCGUGACGCAGCUAACGCAUUAAGUUCCCCGCCUGGGGAGUACGGCCGCAAGGCUAAAACUCAAAGGAAUUGACGGGGACCCGCACAAGCGGCGGAGCAUGCGGAUUAAUUCGAUGCAACGCGAAGAACCUUACCAAGGCUUGACAUAUACGAGAACGGGCCAGAAAUGGUCAACUCUUUGGACACUCGUAUACAGGUGGUGCAUGGUUGUCGUCAGCUCGUGUCGUGAGAUGUUGGGUUAAGUCCCGCAACGAGCGCAACCCUCGUUCUAUGUUGCCAGCACGUUAUGGUGGGAACUCAUGGGAUACUGCCGGGGUCAACUCGGAGGAAGGUGGGGAUGACGUCAAAUCAUCAUGCCCCUUAUGUCUUGGGCUUCACGCAUGCUACAAUGGCCGGUACAAAGGGCUGCGAUGCCGUAAGGUGGAGCGAAUCCCAAAAAGCCGGUCCCAGUUCGGAUUGAGGUCUGCAACUCGA